This 477-nucleotide ribosomal RNA is filed under the name uncultured eukaryote. RNAcentral describes it as "partial 18S ribosomal RNA". It matches the Rfam family "Eukaryotic small subunit ribosomal RNA", at positions 592 to 976 of the family's 1831-position model. The record is from RNAcentral.
CAAUAGCGUAUAUUAAAGUUGUUGCAGUUAAAAAGCUCGUAGUUGGAUUUCGGGGCCCCGGACGCUCGUUGCGUUGUCUGCUGGACUUGUCCUGUGGGCGCGUGGCGGUCGUCGGUCUCUGAGUCGGAUCGGUCCGCCGAGAGGCGUGCACUGACCGACGGCCCCUGUUGUCUCUCGGGUUGCCCGCCUGCACUUAACUGUUGCGGACGGGGAGUUCGGGACGUUUACUUUGAACAAAUUAGAGUGUUCCAAGCAGGCCGUUUGCUUUGAAUACAUUAGCAUGGAAUAAUGGAAUAGGGCUGCGUGGCCUGUCGUCUGACGGCGGGUCCUCGGGUCCUAUUUUGUUGGUUUUCGGGACCGCAGUCAUGGUCAAGAGGGACAGUUGGGGGCAUUCGUAUUCAGUUGUCAGAGGUGAAAUUCUUGGAUUUACGGAAGACGAACAACUGCGAAAGCAUUUGCCAAGGAUGUUUUCAUUAA